Long non-coding RNA from Triticum dicoccoides, 1477 nucleotides. RefSeq lists it as uncharacterized. The record is from RefSeq and is a predicted model, not a curated record. Lineage: Eukaryota; Viridiplantae; Streptophyta; Magnoliopsida; Poales; Poaceae. The transcript is spliced from 6 exons.
GUCCCUUGCCCCUCCCCCUCCAUCGCCCCUCCCCCAACCAAUCUUGCCCACACCACAGAUGCCUCCUCUGCCCUCAAACAACGGCGACAAGGAUGCCGGCAACCCGCGUCUCCUUCCACCUCCCCCAGCUCGUCUUCUCGCCGGCCGCUUUGGAGGAGCCUCCUUUUGCGCGCCACCGUGGCCGGGGUGCGGCGACCACCAGAGGUCCGCCGCCGGCAGGAGCUCCCUCCUUCUCCACUACGAGGCACCAGCAGAGGGGGACGACUCCUCCUUCCAUCCCUAGCCGCGCCGUCCAACCUCUAACGCCGCUUGAAACCCUAUCCCGAAUCCGGCAGAGGUAGUUGAAGGAAGGGGCGGGCAUUGGAGAAGCUGCUAGGUGUGGGCCUGAAGCCAUGGAUGGAUAGCGGACGGUGAGGAGGCACUGAAUAGAGCGGCGGGCAAGGACAAAGUGAAGUUAUGCGCACCGUUGUCAUAUCCCUCCUCCACCCGCUGUUACUGGAAGCAAGCGCAGUACCAUCUCAUCUCAUCCACGAGAGCUAUUUUUGGCUUACAUGAAGGGAUACAUGCUCUUCAUCUUGCAGGCUGGCAGCGGUGUUUGCAAAUCACCACGGAGAAAGUAAAGAUCUCGAGCGGAUUCCGUUUGUUUGCUCUAUGUAUAGUCUUUCGAAGCGCAGGAAAAAACACAAAAAAAUUCUAGUUUAUUUUACUGCCUUUUGUAGUAGAAGAAAAUGAAAAUCACAAAAAAUAUGUUUGUUUCUCUGCCUUUUGUACUAAUGGAGACGGAAAGUCACAAAAAAUGCUUGUUUUGAGGGUCGAGCAGUCAGUUGGUUUGUUGCUCAUACAGAAAUGUUUUUGGUUUUGGGGGGUUCGAUGUGUACAUUGUGCAUCAGCAUACACUGCUAGCUGCCCGUGGAGAUCAGCACUAAAGAAUAAACAAAUCCUGGCACCUGAGCUAUUUACACAAGGAGGGGACCCAGCCUUCUUCACGGCUCGCGGCAGUGUCUCCCAUUGAUUCGUUCGUGCAAUAAGGAGGGGACUCGCCCUUCUUCACGUCUCGUGCAACAAGGGUGGUCGACGCGGACUACCGCUGUCUGGUGGCCGUCGUGCUCUUCAACCACUCAGAGGUGGACUUUGCCGUGAAGCCCGACGACCGCGUCGCACAGAUGAUCGUCCAGGUGAUAGUGACGCCGGAGGUCUCCGAGGUGGAGGACCUUGAUACCAUCGUUUGGGGGGAGGGAGGAUUGGGGUACACCAACAUAUGAACUCCGAGCCUUGGUAGAUACAUCUAGAGAAGUGGUAUGUUUAGGCUGCUGGUGGAACACUAGGAAAGGUACCCACCUUUGGUUGUGUGCGUUUAUUGUUAAAUGCAAUCACGUGAUCUCUUGAAGUUGAGAUGUUCAAUGUUGCAUCCAUGAAUGGUGCAAGUGUUAAGAUGGUCCUGUGACCUUAAUUUAUUUUGCACUGGACGUGUCUCUCA